AGGCCAGUAGCUCCAACUGGUAGAGCGACGGUCUCCAAAACCGCAGGUUGUAGGUUCGAAUCCUACCUGGCCUG
Molecule: transfer RNA, 74 nt
Filed under: Candidatus Omnitrophota bacterium
Lineage: Bacteria; Pseudomonadati; Candidatus Omnitrophota
Description: Candidatus Omnitrophica bacterium (sediment metagenome) tRNA-Trp
Rfam family: tRNA
About the family: Transfer RNA (tRNA) molecules are approximately 80 nucleotides in length. Their secondary structure includes four short double-helical elements and three loops (D, anti-codon, and T loops).
Source: RNAcentral